CAGUAGCACGGGAAUACGAAGGGUGCAAGCGUUAAUCGGAAUUACUGGGCGUAAAGCGUGCGUAGGCGGUUUGUUAAGUCUGUUGUGAAAUCCCCGGGCUCAACCUGGGAAUGGCAAUGGAUACUGGCAAGCUAGAGUGUGUCAGAGGAUGGUGGAAUUCCCGGUGUAGCGGUGAAAUGCGUAGAGAUCGGGAGGAACAUCAGUGGCGAAGGCGGCCAUCUGGGACAACACUGACGCUGAGGCACGAAAGCGUGGGGAGCAAACAGGAUUAGAUACCCCAGUAGUCCCUGUCUCUUAUACA
Molecule: ribosomal RNA, 301 nt
Filed under: uncultured bacterium
Lineage: Bacteria
Description: partial 16S ribosomal RNA
Rfam family: Bacterial small subunit ribosomal RNA
Source: RNAcentral